Molecule: long non-coding RNA, 593 nt
Organism: Oncorhynchus tshawytscha (Chinook salmon)
Lineage: Eukaryota; Metazoa; Chordata; Actinopteri; Salmoniformes; Salmonidae
Source: Ensembl
CUCCUCACAAAACUCAAGAGUGAGGGGUCUGACUGGAUCUGUCCAUAAAAAGGAGAAGAGGGAGAGGUAGAACUGAAUCUCAGCCAAAGGGAGAGGUAGAACUGCAUCUCAGCCAAAGGGAGAGGUAGAACUGAAUCUCAGCCAAAAGGAGAGGUAGAACUCAAUCUCAGCCAAAGGAAGAGGUAGAACUCAAUCUCAGCCAAAGGGAGAGGUAGAACUCAAUCUCAGCCAAAGGGAGAUGUAGAACUCAAUCUCAGCCAAAGGGAGAUGUAGAACUCAAUCUCAGCCAAAGGGAGAUGUAGAACUCAAUCUCAGCCAAAGGGAGAGGUAGAACUCAAUCUCAGCAAAAGGGAGAGGUAGAACUCAAUCUCAGCCAAAGGUAGAGGUAGAACUCAAUCUCAGCCAAAGGCAGAGGUAGAACUCAAUCUCAGCCAAAGGGAGAUGUAGAACUCAAUCUCAGCCAGAGGGAGAGGUAGAACCCAAUCUCAGCCAUUGGGAGAGGUAGAACUCAAUCUCAGCCAAAGGGAGAGGUAGAACUCAAUAUCAGCCAAAGGAAGAGGUAGAACUCAAUCUCAGCCAAAGGGAGAUGUAGA